CAGCAUCCCAUCCUCAUCGCCACUGUAGUAACCAUAGGAAGCAUGGAAAGCAUGACACCUGGCUGUGCGAACAAGAAUGAACAUUUAUUAAAAAUGCUGUCAGUUUUUGCAAAGCUACACCUCGUCCCAGCUUGGCUUCCUGGUCACCUACCACGUCAUAACACUGGAUGCCAAGUGCAAAUUCUGAAGUAACCAAGGCGUAACAAUUGGUUGGCAGCUAUGAUAUGUUCCAAGCUUGGUCCUGGUUUUAGUUACUGUCGCCUCAUUUUGCCUAAGUUCUAACAUGUGGAUGGCAACAUAGGGGUGAUCUCCACAGGAUUUUUGGCUGCAAGUGGUGAGUGCAUGGCUUUUCUUCACUGAAAUAUCAUUAGGCUUCAUGGAUCUUAUGUGUUGUACAAAGCGGUAAUUGAGUUGCGACCAUUGACAUGUGUUUUAGAGUACGUCAUCGUAGCUUCGUGAUGAAGAGUUAGUAGCACUUAGGGUAGCCAUGAACACGAAAGCAUUAAAGAAACCCGAAUUGGUAGAGCAGGCCAGAGAGUCGGGCCUAGAGAUUACUAAGGCGAAGAGAAAACCAGAGAUUAUUGGUGUGAUCAAUGCAGUCGGGGCAGACGAAGAAAUUGCACAAUGCUUAGAACUCACUGAAUAAAAAAAAAGUGAGUCAGAACAUGAAGCAUGUGAGGAGUGCUUAGCACAUGGAGCACGGGAAAAUGAGAUGAAGCGCUUUGAUCUUGAGCUACAUAGGGCUCAAAAUGUGAGGGAAGCUAGUGGAAUGUCAAGAAAGGUGAAUGACGAAAAUUCACUGACGAUUACGAUACUCCCUAAUGCAAAGUUUGAGUGCAGCUCUAUGCGUGCUUUCAUUUCACAAAAUACUGAGGCAUUGCACUGAUCACCGCACUAACUAGCAGAGCCGCAACAGGCGGAGCUAUAUACAGACCAGUCACACAGUUGCCAUGCAACCAUAAUCUUUACCGGAAAACGCUAGUGGAGAACGCUGUGCGCGAAGGCGAGCUUUCUUGUUCUUUUUUUUCUUUCACCCGGACAGCCAGCACCACCGCUGCCGCAGAGACGUGAGCACCAUCUUGUGGUGCUUCAAGGGGGCUUCCUCUGCUUUCCUCCUCGCAGUUCUCUUCUCUAUCGCAGUCUUCUGCUUUUCUCCUCACCCUUUUGCCGUACUCUCCUCCUCCUCUUUCUGCCUCAUGCUUUCACUAUAGCCCCCUCCUCCGCUUUCAUCCUCACGCUCUCUUUGCUGUCGCCUUCUUUCAUUCCCCAUUGCGCUCCGCAUUUGCUCGGUUACGCCGAGGGAAGCUCGCCGACGCUCAACGCAGGAACGCGCACCUUAGAGCUGCACUCUAGAUCGCUCAACAUGAAGGACUUGAAGCAACAAUACAGAAUCUGAGAGGACAUAGGCCUCUUAGUGAACUUUGAAUACACAUUCGAGAAAGCUGAAUUUGUGAGAGAUGCCUGGCCAAAAUGCCUGCUGACAUUGCAAUGUGAGGUAGCCGAUGAAACGCCUGCAUGAGGAACACAGAUGCAGAGAGCUACGACAAGAUCAAGUAGAACCAACUUAAGAAAUACAGGUUGCAGAAUGGUGGCUUGUUGGGCUAGUUGAUUCAGUCGUAAGUACAGGUUAUCAGCAGAGGCACUCUAGCAAAAAUUUAGGGAAGCUAAAAAGGCCAGAAAUUAGGCCCAUCCUGAGUUUGCGUUCUCACUGAUGGCCAUAUGAUGGAGUGGCUUAAAGUCAGGGGUUUUUGCGAAAAUGAAAAGGUGAUAGAGUGCUUUGGACAACAGCAGCCUUUUCACCAGCUGCCUGAAAAUGUUAGAUUUUGGGUAGAGCACAGACCAGGUGUUGACACCAUUGCUAGAGGUCCGCUGAACUCGCGGAAGAGUUUGUGUGUUGCCAAGAUCUUGAAAGCAACGUUCCUGAAGGACAGGAUAAAGAACUGAAGAAUGAGUGGUACACGUUAAGCAAAAAGGUAGGUGUGCACAAUCGUGAGAAGCAGGCACCAAUCAUCCAAGCUGUUGAGACCAGCUCAAGGCAGAGUGACAAAUGAAAGCUUUCAAAGCUAGAUAGCCAGUGAUAACCAGUAACUCUCAGAAGCAGGAUUGCAGGAGGUUUCCUACAAAACAAGUUGUUUUGUAGGAAACCCUGACCAAGAUAAGUGGCUCCUGCGGCCUUAUAUACGCAAGCUGACAGUUAAUGGCAACACAUGUGUGCUCCAAGAUACUACAGCAACUUUUGAUGUGGUUCGUAAAUAUGGAUCAGGUGGGCGAUUGAUAAGUACAGUGUUUGUUUCCAAGUCGAGCGCAUUAGUGACUGAAGCGGCUGUGUCACGGGACGUCUCACUCAGAUAUCUGACCCUAUUUUGAAACAGGUCUGCAAGGCUUUUGAAUGAGCAAGGUGGCAGCUUUGAAGGGUCCUGGAAAAAGAAGAAGAAAGGAGAAUGUGUCAUCCUGGAGAAGCCAAGGAAAACGCUUACUGCAGCUGGGAAAUGUGAAGCUCGAAGCACAAGGGCAAGACUAGUGCUUGCCCUUUGCCACUCAGUACUGACAGCUUGCCAAAGAUGAAUGGAGAAGGUUACAAGACUAUCUGGCAAGACCAACUUCAGCGGGCCUUGACAAAGGAAAGGAGACAACCGAGACGAAGAGCGCUACACCCCUGGCUGAAUAGCUCCACCCCUGUCCCCCCCUCCUAGGAAUUAUUGGACUCAACGUGCAGUGGACCAAGGGUCCAAUACAGAAGGUUGGUGUUUGGAGCUUCAAUGCUGAUCCCUCUGCACUUCCCCCCCCCCCCCCUUUCUGGGGUUUUACGUGCCAAACCAGUUCUGAUUAUGAGGCACGCCGCAGUGGAGGGCUCCGGAUUAAUUUUGACCACCUGGGGUUCUUAAACAUGGACUACAACGCAAGCACACAGGCAUUUUUGCUUUUCGCCUCCAUCGAAAUGCGGCCGCCGCGGCUGGGAUUCGAUCCCACGAUCUCGUGCUCAGCAGCGCAACGCCUUAGCUGACUGAGCCACCCCGGCGGGCAAGAUCCCUCUGCACAGUGGCUGCUGACCAAUGUACGUCAGGAUCUUCUUCCGCCACCUGCACUAUGUGAAGUCAGCAUAUUGGCUCUUAGAAAGCAAAUCCACAUGGACCAAAGCAGAAACCAUGUACAACACACAACACAAUUCAAGCAUAGUUCUAGGACGGUGUUGCCACAUUUACAGUCAAACAUCUCUACAGCAAAUGCCACUAGAAUGAAAUUACCUGAAUAACGAAAGAUUUCGUAUGUCCCGGCUAAA
Dermacentor silvarum is the source of this 3280-nucleotide long non-coding RNA. RefSeq lists it as uncharacterized. The transcript is spliced from 2 exons. The record is from RefSeq and is a predicted model, not a curated record. NCBI's taxonomy places the organism in Eukaryota, Metazoa, Arthropoda, Arachnida, Ixodida, Ixodidae.